This 139-nucleotide ribosomal RNA is filed under the name uncultured eukaryote. RNAcentral's name for it is "partial 18S ribosomal RNA". It matches the Rfam family "Eukaryotic small subunit ribosomal RNA", at positions 1299 to 1458 of the family's 1831-position model. The record is from RNAcentral.
UGGUGGAGUGAUUUGUCUGGUUAAUUCCGGUAACGAGCGAGACCUCAGCCUACUAAUUAGUUUUACGUAUCUUUUGAUAUGCUAAGACAUCUUAGAGGGACUAUCGGUGUGUAGCCGAAGGAAGUAUGAGGCAAUAACA